RNAcentral lists this ribosomal RNA (497 nucleotides) under uncultured bacterium. RNAcentral describes it as "partial 16S ribosomal RNA". It matches the Rfam family "Bacterial small subunit ribosomal RNA", at positions 28 to 507 of the family's 1533-position model. The record is from RNAcentral.
GACGAACGCUGGCGGCGUGCCUAAUACAUGCAAGUUGAGCGCUGAAGGUUGGUACUUGUACCAACUGGAUGAGCAGCGAACGGGUGAGUAACGCGUGGGUAAUCUGCCUUUGAGCGUGGGACAACAUUUGGAAACGAAUGCUAAUACCGCAUAAAAACUUUAAACACAAGUUUUAAGUUUGAAAGAUGCAAUUGCAUCACUCAAAGAUGAUCCCGCGUUGUAUUAGCUAGUUGGUGAGGUAAAGGCUCACCAAGGCGAUGAUACAUAGCCGACCUGAGAGGGUGAUCGGCCAAAUUGGGAAUGGGACACGGCCCAAACUCCUACGGGAGGCAGCAGUAGGGAAUCUUCGGCAAUGGACGAAAGUCUGAACGAGCAACGCCGCGUGAGUGAAGAAGGUUUUCGGAUCGUAAAAAUCUGUUGGUAGAGAAGAACGUUGGUGAGAGUGGAAAGCUCAUCAAGUGACGGUAACUACCCAGAAAGGGACGGCUAACUACGUG